Molecule: long non-coding RNA, 912 nt
Organism: Salvia miltiorrhiza (redroot sage)
Lineage: Eukaryota; Viridiplantae; Streptophyta; Magnoliopsida; Lamiales; Lamiaceae
Exons: 3
Source: RefSeq, a predicted model, not a curated record
AUAAUUGACGUACUAGAUAGUAAAGUUCGCAGUCAUAGAAAGUAUUUAUCCUUUGGGAUGACAUUCAGAAUUAGAAAAGCAAGCAUAUUGUUCUAGUAGAAUCACUACGAACCACAAGGAGUAUAUGAUAGCUAUAAGCUGAGAAUGACACCCGGAAGUUCGAAAUUUCGAGGACGAAAUUUUUUUAAGGAGGAAGGGUUGUAAAACCCCGAAUUUUCCUUAAUAUGAUUUUAGAAGAAUGAUUGAGUUUAGAAAUACAUCGAUUCGCACCCCGGAGAAAAAUUGUUUUAAUUCCAACAAUUAUUGGUUGAAGUUUAAAGCAAAUUGAGCUUAAUUAUAUAGAUUGUUUUUUUUUAAUCAUUUGAAAUAGCAUAUUGAUCCAUUUUGAAUUUUUUUAGCUUGAGCCCAAUAGCUGAUAGCCCAGUAUAAUUAAUUGUAAUUGAUUCCCGGUGGUGAUUUCUGCUUCAGCCACGCUUCUUCAUUUCAUCAGCCACACAUUGGUGAUUUCUGCUUCAGCCACGCUUCUUCAUUUCAUCAGCCACACAUUUAUGCUUCGUAUUAACCCAGUAUAUAUAUAUCUCAUCUACUUCACUGCAUUUACCCAACAAAUCCAACAAAAAUUCAGUCUUUUAUAAUUCAUCCUGGUUCUUCCAAUUGCAGAAAUCUCAAUCGGUCCUACAGACGAGGAUAUUUAGGCUCUUGAUCAGCUGAGUUAUAGUGUUUGGAUUUUCUCCAAAUCAGAUUGAGCAGCUGGUGGUGACGUGCGAGGCUGAGGAAGGGUUAUUGCUAUGGAUUUUGAAGAAAUGCUAUGUUUACUUCCGCUGAAAUAAAUUCACUUAGUGAAUAUUAUCUGAUGCCUAACUAUAUUAAUACUUUUAUUCAUAUUUCUAAUAUGAAUUUCAUUCUCCAUCA